RNAcentral lists this ribosomal RNA (468 nucleotides) under uncultured bacterium. RNAcentral's name for it is "partial 16S ribosomal RNA". It matches the Rfam family "Bacterial small subunit ribosomal RNA", at positions 28 to 507 of the family's 1533-position model. The record is from RNAcentral.
GACGAACGCUGGCGGCGUGCUUAACACAUGUAAGUCGAACGGAAAGGCCCUGCUUUUGUGGGGUGCUCGAGUGGCGAACGGGUGAGUAACACGUGAGUAACCUGCCCUUGACUUUGGGAUAACUUCAGGAAACUGGGGCUAAUACCGGAUAGGAGCUCCUGCUGCAUGGUGGGGGUUGGAAAGUUUCGGCGGUUGGGGAUGGACUCGCGGCUUAUCAGCUUGUUGGUGGGGUAGUGGCUUACCAAGGCCUUGACGGGUAGCCGGCCUGAGAGGGUGACCGGCCACAUUGGGACUGAGAGACGGCCCAGACUCCUACGGGAGGCAGCAGUGGGGAAUAUUGCACAAUGGGCGGAAGCCUGAUGCAGCAACGCCGCGUGCGGAAUGACGGCCUUCGGGUUGUAAACCGCUUUCGCCUGUGACGAAGCGUGAGUGACGGUAAUGGGUAAAGAAGCACCGGCUAACUACGUG